This 858-nucleotide ribosomal RNA is filed under the name uncultured euryarchaeote. RNAcentral's name for it is "bacterial SSU rRNA". It matches the Rfam family "Archaeal small subunit ribosomal RNA", at positions 1 to 879 of the family's 1478-position model. Lineage: Archaea; Methanobacteriati; Methanobacteriota. The record is from RNAcentral.
UUCCGGUUGAUCCUGCCGGAGGCGACCGCUUUGGGAGUUCGAUUAAGCCAUGCGAGUCGUGAGUCUUAGGGACUCGGCUUACUGCUCAGUAACACGUGGAUAACCUGCCCUAUCGUCUGGAAUAACCUCGGGAAACUGAGAAUAAGGCCGGAUAGUUCACAAUGCCUGGAACGGUUUGUGAAUCAAGGUAGGAUGGGUCUGCGGCGUAUCAGGUUGUAGGGGGUGUAAAGGACCCCCUAGCCUUCGACGCGUACGGGUGUUGGGAGACAUAGCCCGGAGAUGGAUUCUGAGACACGAAUCCAGACCYUACGGGGUGCAGCAGGCGCGAAAACUUCACACUGCAGGAAACUGUGAUGAGGGAACUCCUAGUGCAUGCACUAUGUGUAUGUAGAUCCUACUCUUAACAAGUAGAGGGAAAGGGCUGGGAAAGACCGGUGCCAGCCGCCGCGGUAAUACCGGCAGCUCAAGUGGUCGUCGCCUCUAUUGGGCCUAAAACGUCCGUAGCCUGUUUGGUAAAUCUGUGGGUAAAUCAAUCCGCUCAACGGAUUGAAUUCUGCAGAGACUGCCAGACUAGGGACCGGGAGAGGUGUGGGGUACUCGAGGGGUAGGGGUAAAAUCCUGUCAUCCUUCGAGGACCACCAGUUGCGAAGGCGCCACACUGGAACGGAUCCGACGGUCAGGGACGAAGCCUASGGGCACGAACCGGAUUAGAUACCCGGGUAGUCCUAGGUGUAAACGCUGUGAACUUGGUGUCGGGGGUCCGCAAGGGGUCCCCGGUGCCAGAGUGAAGAUGUUAAGUUCACUGCCUGGGGAGUACGGUCGCAAGGCUGAAACUUAAAGGAAUUGGCGGGGCAGCAC